Molecule: ribosomal RNA, 275 nt
Filed under: uncultured prokaryote
Description: partial 16S ribosomal RNA
Rfam family: Bacterial small subunit ribosomal RNA
Source: RNAcentral
UACGUAGGUGGCGAGCGUUGUCCGGAUUUACUGGGCGUAAAGGGAGCGUAGGCGGACUUUUAAGUGAGAUGUGAAAUACCCGGGCUCAACUUGGGUGCUGCAUUUCAAACUGGAAGUCUAGAGUGCAGGAGAGGAGAAUGGAAUUCCUAGUGUAGCGGUGAAAUGCGUAGGGAUUAGGAAGAACACCAGUGGCGAAGGCGAUUCUCUGGACUGUAACUGACGCUGAGGCUCGAAAGCGUGGGAGGCAAACAGGAUUAGAUACCCGGUACGGUCCU